This is a long non-coding RNA of Silurus meridionalis, 983 nucleotides long. RefSeq lists it as uncharacterized. The record is from RefSeq and is a predicted model, not a curated record. Lineage: Eukaryota; Metazoa; Chordata; Actinopteri; Siluriformes; Siluridae. The transcript is spliced from 3 exons.
AUCAAAUUAAUACAUUUUAAAAGUGAAUACAUUAAAAAAAAGAAUAUCAAUAAAUCAAACUAUGAAACUGUGACUAAAUGCAAGCACAUAAUCAUCUUAGUUUGUCCAGGCUGCAAGCUGUCGAUAAUAAGAUGAGGAAAAACAUGAAUAGUGUUAUAUUCUUAGACAACAAUAUUCGCUUAAAAUACUUGGCUGGAAACUGUACAUGAGCAACCAUAAAGAUGAGUCUUUGCUAAAAUCUUGUGUAUUUCAGAUCUAAUCAGUCAAUUAUCAGAUAUUUGUCAUUUGCAAAAAAGCUUGGUCAGUCAGGUGGGCCAUGGUUAAAGAGAAAGGGGAAAAAACGGUGCUAUUUUUUAAUGAGCAGCAUGGGGGGAGGAGUCUGGGUGAGAGAGAGUAAUGUGAAAUGGUGAAUGGAACUAAGCAAACCUAUUUCACAACCCAGGUCAAGCCUGCCAAAUAGGGCAAAGCGUCAGAGAAUCAAUAAUUAAGCUAAUAUCAAUAUUUAGCAACGAAGAUCAUUUACUAAACAAAAAAAAAGAAAAAAAAAAAGAAACUGAUUUUAACAGAUUUUCCUAUACUAAUGCAGUUUUUGAAGGAAAGUCAUGCUUGGACAAACUCGAAUGCGUUUUGGAUAAGUGCUUCAAGAGGGAUGAUGGAUUUGAAAGGGUUGAACAUGCAUUAACAGAGGACUGACACAGCUGGGUCUUUAUGGCGUGAAUGGGUCUUAAAUGCGUUAUUCUGCAUAAUAAACCACUCCACCACCAAAGCUUUGCAACGCAUCAGAACAAGUGUCUAUCAGAAAAGACCUGCUAACCAGCACAAGAAAACUGGCCCAAAACAACAUUUAAUGGAGCAGAGGAACCCACAAGUGACCUCACACAUACAGAGAGGCUCUAAAGGAACAGGAGGAAACAAAACUGUUCAAUAGAGCACCUCUUAUUUAUACACAUGAGGUGUUAAAAAGCAUUACAGAACAAAAUGAC